This is a long non-coding RNA of Zalophus californianus (California sea lion), 2539 nucleotides long. RefSeq lists it as uncharacterized. The transcript is spliced from 8 exons. The record is from RefSeq and is a predicted model, not a curated record. Lineage: Eukaryota; Metazoa; Chordata; Mammalia; Carnivora; Otariidae.
CCCUGGGCGACUACCCUCAAAUACCUCAGGCCAGACCUGUGGAAGGAUUUGGGGCAAGAAACGGGUACCUUUUACUAGAUUUGUAUUCUGCGGAAACCCAGAUACAAGUUGGGCAUACAUAACCAUAAAAAAAAUUUACCUGAGGUCAACCGCAAUCUGGAAGCACAUGAUCCUUCCUCUGAUGAAUUAUUAGAAUUAUUAGACGGUCAAUAGUCACCUAACACGAUGCCUGCAUCAUUCAGGUCACUUUAUCUCAUCAUAUAAGCAUUUUGCCAUCUCAUGUCAUCACAAAAAGAAGGGACAAUAAAUUGUCUUUGAAUCUUUCAUCUGGCAUUUCUGAGGGGGUCAGCGUUAUGUUGUCCCCAGGGCCAUUUGGAAAGCCUCUACCUGUACAUUACAACCUAUUUGAUGCUGCUAGAGGUUUCAGGCCUUCAUAGGAGCUCCACACCCUGCCAUUCUUCUUCCUUCUCCACACCUGUCAGAGCCCCAAUUUUUGUUUAACUGACAAGACUGAGAGUGUGCUAAACAGGAAAUAGAAGUGGCUCUGCACUAAGGACUAAAUCUGCUCUCCCCUUCUGGACAUAAAGUUUGGGCUCAACUUCUCCAGGGAUCUGAGCCAGUGGCGCCAGCAUUCAUGUGACUGGAAACGGAAGGCAAGCGAAUGCAUGUGGAGCCAGUGACUAUGAAGUCAGUCUCAUUAAAUUUACUCAGUUUUCCUCAAGUCUUAAAGCAUGAAGCAUUACAAACCUUCAUAUGUACACUAGGGAAAGAAAGGAAGAAAAAAAAGAACUCCAGGGCAAGACCUAAGGAAAAGCCUGUGGAAAGAACACAGCAAGGAUUAUACUAAGAAAAAGAAGAAAGAACAUACAAGUUUCAAACUAAGUUCCAUAUUAGCAACAGGAUCGUCUUUUUGUCUUGGGUCCCACACCUUCACAGUUCCUGUUGUGCAUACAAGCGAGUUGGCAAAAUUCAAUAGUGAUUGAUGACAUUUAUUUUCUGCAUUCUCUUCCUAUGACUUCCUGUGUAUAUGGCCAUAUUAUAGAUAACAUAACACUUGAAAAAAAAUAUUCAUAUAUUUCUGACUUCUACUUGGGCAAGUUGUAUUUAAUAUCAGAGAUAUAACCCAUAUGUUACUGUCGGACUUGAUUUCCAACUUAAUAGAUACACAGAAAAGCCAACAACUGUUCUGAAGUUAUCAACAAGGUAUGACUGACAAGGGAAACACAAAUGUUACUAAUUCAGAUCAUGUCUUUCUUUGAGCCUAAACCUAAUGUACUAUUUAUUUAGAAUAAUAUCAGUGUCAUUUUAAUUUUUUUCCAUACUACCCAUAUAAUCAUUGCCAUUUUUCUUCUACAGAUGAACAAAUUCUAAUUUUUACAUUUAUGAUUUCUUAUAUGGGGUUUUAGAAUACUAUCUCACAUACAAUUAAGUUUAAUUUCCCUGUGGCAAUAGAGAUGAGGGAAAUAUUAAAUAAAAUUAACACAUAUUUCUUCUCAAUGCUUCUCCUUUUAAUGCAAAUUGCAGGACUACUAACUAAACUCAUCACUGCCUAUGAGAAAUACAAAUGCAUUUAAUAAAAUGGCUAAAAGGCAAGUACUUAAGAGAGAACAGGAAAAGGGCAAAAAAUCCUUAAAAGAGAUAAUAAACUCAGGAAAAGGGGAGAUAUCCCACUAGAUUAUCUCCAAGGAUAAAAUAAAGUCAGUCAUUAAAAAGGCCACUUUAAGGAGAAAAGAAAUUCUCACAAAUGUGAACCCUCUAGAGGGUUCAUACAAAUUGAUAAGAUUCAUAUGAAAUUUGCAAUAGUUAAAUGAGCAAAGAACAUAAACAGACAAUUCACAAAGCAAAACUAACUGAUAAAUACAGAAAGAAGUUAAGACAAAUUGGAAUGGACUACUAUUUUUAUCUAUAAAUUUAGAGGAAAAAAGGAAAAUCAAUGCUGGUAGGGUAGACUGGAAAUCCACCUCAUCUACUGUAGCUCAGAAUGUACAUGGGUACUUUGGAAAGUCUGACAAUAAAUUUUAAAAAUCACAAAAUAUGCUUAUUCUAAAAAGUUAUAUACAUGAUGAUACUCAUUCCUUCAUUAUUUUAAAGUCACUCUCCCAAAACAAUAAACAAAAGCUUAAAGCAAACUGAAUGCUUAACAAAGACAUGGUUAAGGACACCUGUGAUACAUCCAUAGCAUAUAAUAUUACAUAGUCAUUAGAAUGGUAAUGAUGGAAACAGCAACAUUUGCAUAUGACAAAACACAAAAUAAAAAAAGACAAAAAUCAUAUCCACACUGACAACUAUACAAAAUUGUAUAUAAGACUGGAAAGGAAAACAAAGCUAAGGGUUAUGCUACUGUGGUAGAUUGAAUGCUAUUUUUCCUCCCAUUUUUCAUAGUGCUUUAAUGAUUAAAAGGAAUAACUGAUUUCUAAAACACAGACACUUGAAUAACUGUUAGAGAAAUAUAUCUCACUUUUCUUUUACAACAAUUUCCUCAUGGUCUUGAGCAGCCAUUAAAAACUAGCCAAAAAAAGAAGAUAGCAGGAGAGGAAGA